RNAcentral lists this long non-coding RNA (630 nucleotides) under Nicotiana tabacum (common tobacco). RNAcentral's name for it is "long non-coding RNA (NTAB_LNC004056)". Lineage: Eukaryota; Viridiplantae; Streptophyta; Magnoliopsida; Solanales; Solanaceae. The record is from RNAcentral.
CGAGUUUCAAUCGACAGUGUUAACCAGUAACCUUCAACCACUGCCCAAAAAAAAGAAAAAGAGGUCAAAGAAUUUCGAACUCUCUGCCAUUAUUAUUUCCGGUGGGAAUUCAAGUGGUUCGAUCAAAGAAUUUAAAAUUUUCUUGUGAAUCUGAAAAUAUGAUAUUCUUCGACGGUAAGGUAAGAGAAAGUGGGAAGAUACAGUCCUAUAAUUAUGCCUAAUAAAAAUGAACCCUUAAUUAUAUCCCUAAUUUAAAUUAUGGUAUAAAAAUGAUAAUUUGGUAUGCUUAAAUGUAAUAAACACAAACCUUAAACAUUGAGGGUACCUACAAUCAAAGGCAUAUCCUAUGGACCACUGGCACAAAGGUGCUUGAAUUCCAAGAUAUAAGAGAGGUCCACAAAGCACAAAAAUGAGUGCUGGAAAAUGCAAUUUGCUAAGAAUGGUGACUAGGUUUACUAUCUCUUCUUGUUGUUUGUUGCCAUUUGUACAGCUUUUUUCCAAUGAUAAAAGGCAGCAGAACAUGUUCUUUAAGCUUUUGUGUGGGCACCCCACAAAUCUCAUUCUGAUUUCCUUCCAAAAUACUUCAUUAUUGUUGUGCAUAUGCCAUAUGGGGUACAGUUCUCAUUAAAC